This 301-nucleotide long non-coding RNA is filed under the name Monodon monoceros (narwhal). RNAcentral describes it as "lncRNA (ENSMMNG00015002032.1)". The record is from RNAcentral. Lineage: Eukaryota; Metazoa; Chordata; Mammalia; Artiodactyla; Monodontidae.
AGUGAAUCUUGCUUUCAUUUUUGUUUUUUUCUUAAAGCACACUCUGACUCUUAUGAACUCUUAUGGAUUGAAGCCUGGCAGGAGAGACAAGGGUGGCAUUUAGGAGGUCUUUGUCAUGGUCCAAGAUAGGAUGAUAGCAAGUCUGGAAUAUGGAGGAAGUCACAGAGAUGAACGAAGGCUGGAACUGCUGCACAGAAGAAGCUAGAAGAUCAUGGAGGAGAGCCUUCAAAAUUCUGAAUGAAAUGAUUCCUAACUUAGAGAGCUGUUCUCUGCCAAAGAAUGUACUUCCUUUAAACAAGGG